Molecule: ribosomal RNA, 582 nt
Filed under: uncultured Nitrospira sp.
Lineage: Bacteria; Pseudomonadati; Nitrospirota; Nitrospiria; Nitrospirales; Nitrospiraceae
Description: bacterial SSU rRNA
Rfam family: Bacterial small subunit ribosomal RNA
Source: RNAcentral
GAGUUUGAUUCUGGCUCAGAACGAACGCUGGCGGCGCGCCUAACACAUGCAAGUCGAACGAGAAGGCGUAGCAAUACGCUUGUACAGUGGCAAACGGGUGAGGAAUACGUGGGUGACCUACCCUGGAGCGGGGAAUAACUUGCCGAAAGGUGGGCUAAUACCGCGUACGCUACCUGAUCUGCGGGUUGGGUAGGAAAGCCGUACCGAGGGUACGGCGCUCCAGGAUGGGCUCACGUCCUAUCAGCUUGUUGGUAGGGUAACGGCCUACCAAGGCAACGACGGGUAGCUGGUCUGAGAGGACGAUCAGCCACACUGGCACUGCGACACGGGCCAGACUCCUACGGGAGGCAGCAGUGAGGAAUAUUGCGCAAUGGGCGAAAGCCUGACGCAGCGACGCCGCGUGGGGGAUGAAGGUCUUCGGAUUGUAAACCCCUUUCAGGAGGGAAGAUGGGGCGGGGCAACCCGUUCGGACGGUACCUCCAGAAGAAGCCACGGCUAACUUCGUGCCAGCAGCCGCGGUAAUACGAAGGUGGCAAGCGUUGUUCGGAUUUACUGGGCGUAAAGAGACCGUAGCGGUUCGGU